AGAACUUUCCAGAGAUGGAUUGGUGCCUUCGGGAACUCUGAGACAGGUGCUGCAUGGCUGUCGUCAGCUCGCGUUGUGAAAUGUUGGGUUAAGUCCCGCAACGAGCGCAACCCUUAUCCUUUGUGCCAGCGGUUAGGCCGGGAACUCAAAGGAGACUGCCAGUGAUAAACUGGAGGAAGGUGGGGAUGACGUCAAGUCAUCAUGGCCCUUACGAGUAGGGCUACACACGUGCUACAAUGGCGCAUACAAAGAGAAGCGACCUCGCGAGAGCAAGCGGACCUCAUAAAGUGCGUCGUAGUCCGGAUUGGAGUCUGCAACUCGACUCCAUGAAGUCGGAAUCGCUAGUAAUCGUGGAUCAGAAUGCCACGGUGAAUACGUUCCCGGGCCUUGUACACACCGCCCGUCACACCAUGGGAGUGGGUUGCAAAAGAAGUAGGUAGCUUAACCUUCGGGAGGGCGCUUACCACUUUGUGAUUCAUGACUGGGGUGAAGUCGUAACAAGGUAAGCGUAGUGCU
This 516-nucleotide ribosomal RNA is filed under the name uncultured bacterium. Its description in RNAcentral is "bacterial SSU rRNA". It matches the Rfam family "Bacterial small subunit ribosomal RNA", at positions 992 to 1509 of the family's 1533-position model. The record is from RNAcentral.